RNAcentral lists this ribosomal RNA (481 nucleotides) under Cytospora leucostoma. Its description in RNAcentral is "partial large subunit ribosomal RNA". It matches the Rfam family "Eukaryotic large subunit ribosomal RNA", at positions 131 to 630 of the family's 3401-position model. The record is from RNAcentral. Lineage: Eukaryota; Fungi; Ascomycota; Sordariomycetes; Diaporthales; Cytosporaceae.
CUCCGGCCCGCAUUGUAAUUUGCAGAGGAUGCUUUUGGCGAGGUGCCUUCCGAGUUCCCUGGAACGGGACGCCAUAGAGGGUGAGAGCCCCGUAUGGAUGGACACCAGACCUGUGUAAAGCUCCUUCAACGAGUCGAGUAGUUUGGGAAUGCUGCUCUAAAUGGGAGGUAAAUCUCUUCUAAAGCUAAAUACCGGCCAGAGACCGAUAGCGCACAAGUAGAGUGAUCGAAAGAUGAAAAGCACCUUGAAAAGGGGGUUAAACAGUACGUGAAAUUGUUGAAAGGGAAGCAUUUAUGACCAGACUUGCGCCGGGCAGCUCAUCAGGGGUUCUCCCCUGUGCACUCUGCCCGGCUCAGGCCAGCAUCGGUUCUCGUGGGAGGAUAAGAACAGUGGGAACGUGGCCCCCCUCCGGGGGGGUGUUAUAGCCCAUUGUACGAUACUCUCGUGGGGACCGAGGUUCGCGCUCCGCAAGGAUGCUGGC